Molecule: long non-coding RNA, 1009 nt
Filed under: Rhinopithecus bieti (black snub-nosed monkey)
Lineage: Eukaryota; Metazoa; Chordata; Mammalia; Primates; Cercopithecidae
Description: lncRNA (ENSRBIG00000045924.1)
Source: RNAcentral
GACAGGCCCCCGGAGGGUGGGGCCCCUGCAGAGAGCCCUUCUCUAGGACGGGGCACCUGCCUAGGGGGCCUGAGAUGAGGUCGGCCUUGGCUCAUCACCUGGGGAGAGUGGAUCUAGGAGGCCCGAGCAAAGCUACCUGGGCCCAGUCUGGGUGGAGCCCCCGAGGCGGGAGGGUGGAGCCUCGCGGACCCUGGCUGGGGUCGGGGCAGAAUCCAGGCCUGGGGAGCUCCAGGUGAGACGGGGAGUCCUCAGCCCAGUCAGCUGUGAGGCCACGGGACCCUGGGACAGGGCGGGCUCUGGCCACUAAACAGCAAAGCAGGCGGAGACAUCCUAUGCCAUUCCACGUGGGAGCCUCAGACUCUCAGGAGUCCUGACUGGCCCCAGGGUCUUUGGCCACGUUUGGAUCCAGGUCGCGUAGGGUCAGGAUCCAGCGUUUCCCGCGGGCUCUGAGGAGAGAAGGGAACCGGAAGGUUCUGGUCCUGUCGGAGAUGUGUGGAGAGUUGCUUUUCCAGAAGAAAUACCAACUCCCACAUUUAAGUUUAGGCAGUUGACCAACUUUGAAAAGCUUGGAACUUUUGUUUGGCGUUGAAGCCACAUGAUCUGUCGCCCAUGGAAACAGCAGAAUUCCAUAAGGACUGGGUGGGGAACCCACACUCUCUACCGGGCGCCAGCCACAGGCUGUCUCUUGCGUGAGUUCUGACGUGAACAACGGAGUAGAACAUGUUGUCAUUUGUUUGUUGACAUCGCGGAUGAAGGAGCAGAAUCCAUUUUGCGGGGAAAGAUGUGGGAACACUGUUGGAUACAGCCGCAGGGGAUCACUGGGCGCCUUAAAGAGAGCGCUUGCUACUUCGUGCUGGGGGAGAAGAGACGAGUGAGUGACUGGUUGCAGAUGAAGAUGAAGCCCUGGGGAUGGGUGUGCUGUGAGUUGAAACGACCCUGGGCUCUGAGUCAUCAUGUGGAGCAGUCCUACGCGCCAACAAAACCACGUGCCUUGGACUGGAAUUUUUAG